GGGGCAUUAGCUCAGCUGGGAGAGCGCUACACUGGCAGUGUAGAGGUCAGCGGUUCGAACCCGCUAUGCUCCACCA
Molecule: transfer RNA, 76 nt
Filed under: Brevibacillus thermoruber
Lineage: Bacteria; Bacillati; Bacillota; Bacilli; Caryophanales; Paenibacillaceae
Also listed under: 15 other names
Description: tRNA-Ala
Rfam family: tRNA
About the family: Transfer RNA (tRNA) molecules are approximately 80 nucleotides in length. Their secondary structure includes four short double-helical elements and three loops (D, anti-codon, and T loops).
Source: RNAcentral